Long non-coding RNA from Grus americana (Whooping crane), 523 nucleotides. RefSeq lists it as uncharacterized. NCBI's taxonomy places the organism in Eukaryota, Metazoa, Chordata, Aves, Gruiformes, Gruidae. The transcript has 4 exons. The record is from RefSeq and is a predicted model, not a curated record.
AGCAGCCUGAAGCACAACGCCCGACGCACAAAGCCUGGCUGUCUUCCUGCCGCCACUGGAGUCCCUUCCUGCGAGUGAGCUGCUCGCCCUCUUCUUUCUCUGCUCUGGAUCUGCCACCACGAACUGAAGGGCCACUGGAGCUGGGGGGUCUACAGCCCUGAUUUACCAUUCCAGAGGUGGCCAAGGUUUUGUUGGUAUACACACGGCUCCUCCUUUCCACCAGCUGCCUAAGAACUUCACCUCAGCGGAGGGGAGUUGUACCUUUUCUGCCGGAACCUGAAGUUCUCAACUUUCCAGCGUACACAGUUGGGUGACCUCUUCUUCAUGAUCUCCGUUUUGCAAGCUCAGCAACCUCGUUAUCUGUCCUGCCCGGAUGGUCCCAGGCUUGUUGGCAUAUUGGGCCCCCUUUAUCAGAGUCCAUUUAGUGGAAGACUGUUCUCUAAGUACUGGAGACCUUGAGCGUGAACGGUAUCUUCUGGAUGGGGCUGCCCUUGCCCUUGAACGGUGAUAACCAUCUGACCUU